UACGGAAGGGGCAAGCGUUGUUCGGAAUCAUUGGGCGUAAAGGGCGCGUAGGCUGUCUUGUGUGUUUGCUGUAAAAACGCACGGCUCAACCGUGUGAGGUCGGUGAAAACUGCAAGACUUGAGGCUGGGAGAGGCUGGUGGAAUUCCCUGUGUAGCGGUGAAAUGCGUAGAUAUAGGGGAGAACACUCGUGGCGAAGGCGGCCAGCUAGACCAGUCCUGACGCUGAGGCGCGACAGCGUGGGGAGCAAACAGG
Molecule: ribosomal RNA, 253 nt
Filed under: uncultured bacterium
Lineage: Bacteria
Description: partial 16S ribosomal RNA
Rfam family: Bacterial small subunit ribosomal RNA
Source: RNAcentral